This 773-nucleotide ribosomal RNA is filed under the name uncultured Neocallimastigales. Its description in RNAcentral is "partial large subunit ribosomal RNA". It matches the Rfam family "Eukaryotic large subunit ribosomal RNA", at positions 22 to 645 of the family's 3401-position model. The record is from RNAcentral. Lineage: Eukaryota; Fungi; Neocallimastigomycota; Neocallimastigomycetes; Neocallimastigales.
GUACACGCUGUGACUAGCAUAUCAAUAAGCGGAGGAAAAGAAACUAACAAGGAUUCCCCUAGUAACGGCGAGUGAAGCGGGAAGAGCUCAAAUUUGAAAUCUUGAAAGGGUUCACCUUUCACGAAUUGUAGUUUAAAGAAGUGUUUUCUGUUACGAUUUGGUAAUAAGUUCUUUGGAAUAGGACAUCAUAGAGGGUGAGAAUCCCGUCUAUGAUUGCGAUUUGUAGCUUUGUGAUACACUUUCAAAGAGUCGGGUUGUUUGGGAAUGCAGCCCAAAACGGGAGGUAAAUUUCUUCUAAGGCUAAAUAUUGGCGAGAGACCGAUAGCGAACAAGUACCGUGAGGGAAAGAUGAAAAGAACUUUGAAAAGAGAGUUAAAUAGUACGUGAAAUUGUCAAAAGGGAAGCGUUUAACACCAGUGUUGUUUUCUGAAAAUCAACCUCUGUUAGCUUUAUGCAUGUUUGUUUAGACCUAAUCAGCUAUCUUGCAUGUUCUAUUGUUUGCAGUGGUGCACUUUUCAGUUUACAGGUCAACAUCAGUUUUUUUUACCGUAAAAAAGUUAAAGAAAGGUAGCUCAUGGCUCCGGUCGUGAGUGUUAUAGUCUUUUUCCUAUGCGGUAGGAGAGACUGAGGUCUGCAGUGUAGGCUAUUUGGCUAGAUACUCAGGUGCUAUGUGAUACCAUUUCAUAAACAACUUGUUGAUUAUGUUUUGUCUAUUGCAUACUCGCUUGUACUAUCAUACCUACGCUUAGGAUGUUGACGCAUGAGAUAUACGC